Molecule: ribosomal RNA, 266 nt
Filed under: uncultured bacterium
Lineage: Bacteria
Description: partial 16S ribosomal RNA
Rfam family: Bacterial small subunit ribosomal RNA
Source: RNAcentral
UUGACCUACGGGGGGCAGCAGUGGGGGAUAUUGCACAAUGGGGGAAACCCUGAUGCAGCGACGCCGCAUGUGGGAAGACGGUCCUCUGGAUUGUAAACCACUGUCCCCAGGGACGAAAAUGACGGUACCUGGGGAGGAAGCUCCGGCUAACUACGUGCCAGCAGCCGCGGUAAUACGUAGGGAGCGAGCGUUGUCCGGAAUUACUGGGUGUAAAGGGAGCGUAGGCGGGGAUGCAAGUUGGGUGUCAAAACUACCGGGCCAACUGG